RNAcentral lists this unclassified non-coding RNA (4428 nucleotides) under Hevea brasiliensis (rubber tree). Lineage: Eukaryota; Viridiplantae; Streptophyta; Magnoliopsida; Malpighiales; Euphorbiaceae. The record is from RNAcentral.
CUAUGGUUCUAGACCCUUUAUCGACCACAUCAGACUGUUUUUCUCUGACAAUCUAGGUAAGGGAAGCCAUUCUUUCUCGGGCUUCCUUCUCAUGCCCGAGUUGUGGGUUCCUAUUCUGCCCCGGGCAAGUUUGUAGAUGGUGUUUUGGUUUUAGAGUGCAGCCGGUAGAGACAAGAAGAGGGAUUCUUUGUGGCUAUUGUAGCUCAUAUGGUUUUGGUUUCCUUUGUUCUUUGUUUUGUAUCUGCUGCAUGCGUGUGUUUUUAAGGAGCUGUUGUCCAUUUGUUUGUGGUAUUGGUUUGUUAGGGUCUAUUUCAUGGUGUGGGCUUUGAAGGAAAUUGGGGAAGGAAGUCAUCUCAAGGUCCUUACCAUACCGACACCCAAUGGUGCUUGCUGACCCAAGAUUGGGAGCUAUGCUUCCUUCACCACUAGCACCAAAGAUAGAUCCUUUACUGUUGGAGUGUGGGCACUUCGUUUUCGGUCAAGAUCCUUUCUUGUACUGGUUAUGAUGGCCAUACCUGGCUUCCAGAGGAAAGGACUUUUGUGUAUUUCUUGCUCCAAUAGUUUCAGCUUGCCUUCCCGAUACUCUUGAGUUGCUGUCAUCUAGGAGACCACCUCUUCAAGCAUCUUCAACUGUGUACACUGCCCCAAUGGUGCUUCAGUUAGUCUCACUUCUCCCAUUGGUGUUAGCCAGAUGAUCAAGCUGGGGCUGUUGCGAUUCUCGUUGGGAUUCCUCUAUUAUGUUCUCUGAGGCGCCAUUUUUUUUGUCUAUCAGGUCAUGGAUUUGCUAGUCUAGACUCUUUUUUCUGUUAGUGUUUCUUUUGUAAUCGAUUUAUGCUUUUAUUUGAGCAGAGUUGGUCUUUUAGCUGGAAUCCUUGUUUGUUUGCCCAUGGAUCUGUUUCUGUAAUUUGGCCUCAUGGCUUGUUUAUUCAAUGAAACCUAUCUUUAUUUUUCGAGGAAAAGAAAAACACACACAGGGGUUGAGUCAUAUAGAUUCAUUUUCCAGAGAGGGGAAAAAGAAUAAGAGAUUCCUAAAAGCCUUUCUUUUCCAAAUCCAUUCCUUCACAUAAAAUCAAUGUUUCUAAGCUAACUGGUAAAAAUAAGGUUCCCAACCACCUUGUUUUCUUGAAAAUUCACUCAUCACGGAUACAGUGGGGCUAAACCUAAUGCAGAUUCCAGAUGAGUAACCAGCAAUAUCCCUCUAAUGUACAUUUCAUCAUGCAGGAUAAUCAUAAUCUGCCAUCAUUAGUGGGAUUCCACAAGUACAUACAAGGGUUUGCCAUUCAAUCGCUCACGACCUUUUAAAUCUGGUAAUUCGAUUACACAAGCACAUUCAACAACUUCUGCUCCAGCACGUUCUGAGAUUAUAUUUGCAAAUUCAUUAGAAACCCAAGCAGAUUUCAAAUUUUGAGUGAUAUUUAAAGCAAUCACAUUGGGAUGAAAUUGAGCAUAAUUAUUGCAAAUGAAUGUUGAUAACCCCUUAAAAGCUUAGGUAAAAACCAAAAUCUACAUCAUAUCAUCAGAUGGCCUGUUUUCCACACUCCAAUAAAGAUUGUGAAAAACAAGAUUUUAUUUCUCACAUGCAUUAAAUUAGACAUAGGAAUUAAAGAUGCUGAUGUUAAUCUAAGAUUGAUUUUAAACAUGAUGAAACAUGCUUGUCAUGCAAGAUGCAAAUUGUUCUUCCUUGUGCCAUCCAACAUUUACGAAAGAUCAGAUAAUAUUACAAGCAUGAAUGUAAUACACGUACACAUCAUUUAAGAACAAAAAUAUUCAUGCAUCGAAAUCUAUUAAAAAAAGGUGAAACUCAUGAUGAAGAAAAGAAUAAGUACAUCUUGAUUUAAAAGAUCUUAUGACAUAGUUACCAAGUAAAUUCAUAGCUGCUCGCAGGGUGCCACCAGUAGCAAUCAAAUCAUCAACCACCAAAGCACGUUCCCCUGCACUGACCGCUCCAACAUGCAUCUCAAGACAGUCACUUCCAUAUUCCAGAACAUACUCUUCUUUAAUAACUUCACCAGGCAAUUUCUUUGGUUUUCUCAAUGGAACAAACUUUGCUCCAAUUGCCAAUGCAAUAGGAGGUCCAAAUAUAAAUCCUCGUGCCUCUAUUCCUGGAAAUAAAAUUCCUGGUAUUUCAGAAAUACAACACCUCAAACAAUUUCAAAAGACUUUCUUAAUUACAGAAAAAUUUACCUACAUCAUGUAGCAGGAUGCAAAACAAGGUGCAAGUAUAAAUGAAUUUUUCCAAAGUUGAAUGCUCUCAAGUCUAGUGUUAAAUUGUGAAUUUUCUUUCGGGGAAAAAUGGGAAGGGGGGUUUUGUUCUUCUAAUUGACAAUAAAUAACAGAAACUUUUAAAGAAACGGUGACAAAUCAAUGAAACAACUACACAACUUAAAGUGGCAGUGUGACACCCUUGAUAUUGCUAAGAAAACAAUGCAUUUCAACAUUGGAUGGAGAAAAGUUCAUCAGCAAAAACAAGCGCAAUUUGUGCUCAAAUCUCCACCACUGCUCCAUCCAGAAAAAGGACAAAAAGGUAAUAGAAAAAGAAACUUUCAGUUCAUUAAUUGAUCUCAUGAAUCUCAUUCUCCACCAAUGUAGUAACAUCAAAAGGCACAAUCCACCUGCUUGUGCUGAAGAUACCAACGACAUGAUGUUGCAUUAACAUACACAGACUAGAUCAAAUGGCAAAAUAUUUAUCCAUCAAAUAGGCAUUCAAAUUGUAUGCAAAGCAGUUAGAAUGCAUUCAGAGUGUAAUAGCCAAGACAAAACACAAAAACAAAAAUAUGAAAAGAUACAACCAAAGUUUACGGUUGCUGUAUAUUACCUCAAGAACACAGAUACAAAAUGCAAAAAAUUGUAGAGCAUUAGGCGAGGAGAAAUAUUUUAAUGGCUAGAAAACAAAUGGCAUGUUCACAACAUCCCUUUUUCAGGAUAAAAUAAAGAAUUGCUAGCAAUUGAACCAUAGCAAUAUCUGCAAUUGAUUUAUGCUCCAAUGAGAGUCGAGAACUGUAUACGGGAAGAAUUCAAUCUCCGCCACCAAAUGUCUAUAUCAUCACUGCAGAACAGUUUAUCAUAAAAGACCUAUAGAUUUCAUGACAAUACAACGAUGAAGCACUUCAAAUGAUUAAUCUUUCAAAAUUACUUGGAAGUCAAAGACACAAGCACUGGCAUAGCCAAAUGAUGGAAUGAGAAAAGCUUAACCAUAUCAGCAACCAAAACCUUUUAACCAAAGAACUGUUUCUUAUCAGAACUUUAGCUAGGAAAACAGUUAUAUUUGUGAGAAAAAUAUCUUUAACAGUAACUUCAACAUAGGAUAUUAGAUAUAAGGGUUCUAAAUAUAAUUUGAAUUUCAAAAUAAGUAAAUAAAUAAAUAAACUGCAGUUUGCAAAAGACAAGAAUAUAAUGUCAAAUGUGAUUAUUUUAAGCUUAGUGGGGAGGGUGUAGUCUCUCCAUGAUGGUCGAGCGUGACAUACAUCUAUUGAUGUAUUCUCUGAACUAGGCCUUCCACUGAACAACCCUAUGAUCACAUGCUCUGGACCUAAUCCAGCGGAUAACAUCAACUAGGCAGACAAAAGAUAAGAAGUUGCAGAAACCUUUAUCUCACAGAGGAAAAUGCCACGACUUUAUAAUUUUAAGAGAAGAUUCCACAAAUGUAUAAAGUUUCUCACGAACACAAUAAGACAACAGACGUCCAGAUGAGCACACAAAAAGACAGAUUCUAAUGCCACACAUUACGACAAAGCACAUAUAUACUAAAUGUUGACCAAAUCCUUUGUGAUCCAAAAAUAUAAUUAAAAUGAGGACCAUUGCCAAUAUAAUGAUGAGAUCAUGAAAACUUUUCAACUUUGCACAAGUUUGUGGAAGAAAUAGCACGUCAUAUGUGUAUUGGAAUUUUGCUAUUAGUCGUGAAUGCCAGACAACCCAUCAUGUAUGGUCCUUUAACACAGAAAUAUGUUCAUCAACAUAUGAUGCAUAAAUGCAAGUAACUCACCACUUAACUAACAACUCAGACACUCUAUUUGCUCAAGAAACAGUUAAAGACAAGGAGAUUUAUCAUUAUCAAUAGAGGAAUUUAACCAACGUACAAAAUCGCCAAGUGAAUGCCAAAGAAACAAGACCCACUAUAUUGAACACAAAAAUUCAUGUAUCUCAGACUCUCAGAGAAUUUGGAUACAAGUUAAAAAGAGGAAACGGAAUUGCAUCAUGAGAAAGAAAAGAGUAUAAACAUGAGGCAUGGGAUUGGGAUAAACACAUGUGAAGUUCCCUAUUACAAUGGAGCCAAAAUAAACCGGCCCAGUGGUAACUCGCAUUAUUUGGGUCCACCUUUUCAACAAGGUGGGCAUCCAUCACCAACCACCAUCAAUCCACCCAAAUCGGAUCCCAGCACCUGCCCAUAACGCCAACAACAGCAACGACAGAGAGAGAGAGAGAGAGAGA